GAUGAACGCUGGCGGCGUGCCUAAUACAUGCAAGUCGAGCGAACAGAUGAGGAGCUUGCUCCUCUGACGUUAGCGGCGGACGGGUGAGUAACACGUGGAUAACCUACCUAUAAGACUGGGAUAACUUCGGGAAACCGGAGCUAAUACCGGAUAAUAUAUUGAACCGCAUGGUUCAAUAGUGAAAGACGGUUUUGCUGUCACUUAUAGAUGGAUCCGCGCCGCAUUAGCUAGUUGGUAAGGUAACGGCUUACCAGGGCAACGAUGCGUAGCCGACCUGAGAGGGUGAUCGGCCACACUGGAACUGAGACACGGUCCAGACUCCUACGGGAGGCAGCAGUAGGGAAUCUUCCGCAAUGGGCGAAAGCCUGACGGAGCAACGCCGCGUGAGUGAUGAAGGUCUUCGGAUCGUAAAACUCUGUUAUUAGGGAAGAACAAAUGUGUAAGUAAAUAUGCACGUCUUGACGGUACCUAAUCAGAAAGCCACGGCUAACUACGUG
This 497-nucleotide ribosomal RNA is filed under the name uncultured bacterium. Its description in RNAcentral is "partial 16S ribosomal RNA". It matches the Rfam family "Bacterial small subunit ribosomal RNA", at positions 28 to 507 of the family's 1533-position model. The record is from RNAcentral.